Molecule: RNA transcript, 1142 nt
Organism: Ipomoea nil (Japanese morning glory)
Lineage: Eukaryota; Viridiplantae; Streptophyta; Magnoliopsida; Solanales; Convolvulaceae
Gene name: nuclear transcription factor Y subunit C-1-like
Exons: 3
Source: RefSeq, a predicted model, not a curated record
UACUUACUCCCACUCUCUCUCUUCCUCUUUCUCAUAUUUCUCUUUCUCUCUCUCUCUCUCCAUUUCUUUCUGUGAAGAACAAUGGAGAACAGCCCUCAGCAAGCAGCGGCGGCUGCAGCCGCAGCCGCAGCUCAGACGGCCGGCGGGUACCCGCCGGCGCAGCCGCCGUACCACCAUCUCCUCCAGCAACAGCAGCAGCAGCUGCAAAUGUUCUGGACGUACCAGCGGCAGGAGAUCGAGCAGGUGAACGACUUCAAGAACCACCAGCUCCCUCUGGCCCGCAUCAAGAAGAUCAUGAAGGCGGACGAGGACGUGCGUAUGAUCUCCGCGGAGGCGCCCAUCCUGUUCGCCAAGGCCUGCGAGCUCUUCAUUCUGGAGCUCACCAUUCGCUCCUGGCUCCACGCCGAGGAGAACAAGCGCCGCACCCUACAGAAGAACGACAUCGCCGCGGCCAUCACCCGCACUGACAUCUUCGAUUUCCUCGUCGACAUUGUGCCCCGCGACGAGAUCAAGGACGAGACUGCUGCCCUCGUCGGCCCCGCCGCCGCCGCCGCCGCCGGAAUGGUCGCCGGCUCCACCGCUAGCGGCGUCCCGUACUACUACCCGCCAAUGGGCCAGCCCACGCCCCCCGGUGUCAUGAUUGGAAGGCCCGCCGUGCCUGGUGUGGAUCCGUCCAUGUACGUCCAGCCUCCGCCACCGCCGUCGCAGGCAUGGCAGUCCGUGUGGCAGCCUCAGGAGGACAAUUCCUACGCCAGUGGAGGCAGCAGUGGCCAGGGAAACCUCGACGGCCAAGGAUUUAGGUAAUAAGUUGGCGUUACUUCAGGAUUUGAAUUUUGUGUGCAAGAUGGUACCUCAGGUGUGUCUGAGGGGGUUGUUUUCGGAUGAUUGGUGGCAAAAGGAAGCUGCCUUGCCCCGUCUCUCUAAUUCAAUUUGGAGUUUCUCUUCUAAAUUGCAAAAAUGAAUGCACCUUAUAACUAGUGUCUGUGGAUACUGUGUUAACCAUGGUAUUAGAUAUAUGUAUAAAAACUGGAUUUUGAUUAGUAACUCUUUGUUUUUUUCUUGAAAUAAUCCUUCUGGGGAUUGGAUUCUGUAACAUGCUCCUGCUGCUGCUUUAGCUUCAUCAUCUUGUGUUCCUUGUCCCU